GCCUGGGUGGCUCAGUCGGUUAAGCAUCUGACUUCAGCUCAGGUCAUGAUCUCACAGUUCGUGGGUUCGAGCCCCGCAUUGGGCU
RNAcentral lists this transfer RNA (85 nucleotides) under Felis catus (domestic cat). It matches the Rfam family "tRNA". From Rfam's summary of the family: Transfer RNA (tRNA) molecules are approximately 80 nucleotides in length. The record is from Rfam by way of RNAcentral. Lineage: Eukaryota; Metazoa; Chordata; Mammalia; Carnivora; Felidae.